This 260-nucleotide unclassified non-coding RNA is filed under the name uncultured fungus. Its description in RNAcentral is "partial contains 5.8S ribosomal RNA, internal transcribed spacer 2, and large subunit ribosomal RNA". The stretch from base 1 to 52 matches the Rfam family "5.8S ribosomal RNA", at positions 103 to 154 of the family's 154-position model. The record is from RNAcentral. Lineage: Eukaryota; Fungi.
AACGCACAUUGCGCCCGCCAGUAUUCUGGCGGGCAUGCCUGUCCGAGCGUCAUUUCAACCCUCGAGCCCCUCCGGGGGGUCGGCGUUGGGGAUCGGCUUACACCUGCCGGCCCCGAAAUACAGUGGCGGCCUCGCCGCAGCCUCUCCUGCGCAGUAGUUUGCACACUCGCAACGGGAGCGCGGCGCGUCCACGGCCGUAAAACACCCCAAACUUCUGAAAGGUUGACCUCGGAUCAGGUAGGAAUACCCGCUGAACUUAA